AGAAACCAGUCUCCGAGGCUUGGCAAAGCAGUUCUCCUUGGCAGUGCUUGGGUGUCGGGACUCCGAGGUUCCGGCCUGACCGCUCCACGGGGUCGACAGGAACGUCUCCAGAUGCCAGGAGUCGCAAAGAGCCGACCACGACGAUGAGACCACGGGCGGAGUCCAGGGGAAGCAGCAAGGCAUCCCAGCCUCAGGCCUGCCCGGACGGUGUUCGGGUGAGUCUCCCCAAAAGUCGUGCCCCCGGGAUCUCAAGGACAGGUCGGCUUGCGUGCCCCUGGGCUGCUCUCUCACCCGAGGGUCGUUCUCAUCCAGAGCAGAACCCCGCAGCCUCAGGUGUUGCCUGGGGGUGUGUGUUUCUGUGCCACUGCUGUAUGACUCUGUGUGUGUGUGUGUGUGUGUGUGUCUCCCAUUCUCUCUUCUGUCUCUGUCUCUCACUCUCUGUGUGUUUCUUUCCCUCUCUCUGUCCAUUUGUGUGUGUGUGCCCGUGUGCGAGUGUGUCUUUGGACGAAUGUGCCCUGUGCG
This 522-nucleotide long non-coding RNA is filed under the name Homo sapiens (human). RNAcentral's name for it is "HSALNT0400403". The record is from RNAcentral. Lineage: Eukaryota; Metazoa; Chordata; Mammalia; Primates; Hominidae.